Salmo salar (Atlantic salmon) is the source of this 368-nucleotide non-coding RNA. NCBI's taxonomy places the organism in Eukaryota, Metazoa, Chordata, Actinopteri, Salmoniformes, Salmonidae. The record is from RefSeq and is a predicted model, not a curated record.
AAAAAAGACCUCCAAAAGUUGUCAGUGUUGGACGGUGCUUACUGAGAAUGUUGGUGGAGCUCAGCAGUGAUGCGUCUCCAACAGCACCCUGGAGAGGAGCACUGGGAACGGACAAGAUAAAUAUUUUGCAUCCCUGCCAUUGACAAAGUGGUUACUGCUUAUCACAGGGUGGAAUCAGUGCUCACCUAAAAACCCCACUGAUUGAGAGAAAUUGUAAUUGUUUUUAGGCAGAAUUAUGUGAGGUUUUCUGUGUUGUUGGAGGUGGGUCUUGGUCAGUUUAGCUCAGAAAAUGCUGCCCUCGUCAAUCAUAGGCCUAAUCCUAUGCAGGCCGGCCUUGUGUUUCAUGUUAAUACUACUCCUAAACACAA